Molecule: long non-coding RNA, 534 nt
Organism: Nothoprocta perdicaria
Lineage: Eukaryota; Metazoa; Chordata; Aves; Tinamiformes; Tinamidae
Exons: 2
Source: RefSeq, a predicted model, not a curated record
AACCCUGGUCAUUUAGUAAAUUAAUUUUUCCUCUUUCUCACAGCAGUUGCUAAAAUAGCUGUAACCUUGCCAUACUGUGUGCUAUGUUACUAGUGGCAAUGAAGUUUCUCCUAUGCAUAGCAUGAGGUGCUGUGGCCAUCCCAGAUGCUUAGCCUUUGCAACUGAUGAUGUAAAAAGCUUCUGUGAGGAAAGUAGCAAAUCACUCCAUGAGGCUGUGGAAUUCAUGCUACAGAAGAGGAGGUCUCUGAAGAAGUCAGUGAAACACCUGCUGUAUCACCAACAGAGUUCCCAGUCUGUCUGCUGAAUGGACUUGCAUAUUAUUUGGAAAAAAAAAUACUGGUUGAGCUCUUCCAUAAACUUCAUGAGAAUACAUUAUAAUCUUCAGAUUCAAUAGCAAAUUAAAUAGAUCUUUUUGGUCACAGGUUCUUAUUUCCUUUGUGAUUUGCUGUGCCCACCACCCCUUUGCAGGUACAAAUACAGAGAUAAUGCAGAUACAAAUACUCAAUGGCAGUCAUUGCUAGAUUAAAAUAUUUG